This is a non-coding RNA of Nannospalax galili (Upper Galilee mountains blind mole rat), 375 nucleotides long. Lineage: Eukaryota; Metazoa; Chordata; Mammalia; Rodentia; Spalacidae. The record is from the annotation of a RefSeq genome assembly.
AUGGACAUGAGGGACCCCUCUCAGCUCCUGGGGCUUUUGCUGCUCUGGUUUUCAGGUAUGAGAUGUGACAUCCUAAUGACUCAGUCUCCAUCCUUGCUGUCUGCAUCCCUGGGAGACAGAGUCACUAUCAACUGCAAGGCCAGUGAGAACAUUAAUAGUUGGUUAGCUUGGUAUCAGCAGAAACCAGGGGAAGCUCCUAAACUCCUGAUCUAUGGUGCAUCCAAUCUGCAAACUGGGAUCCCAUCAAGGUUCAGUUGCAGUGGAUCUGGUACAGAUUAUACUCUCACCAUCAACAAACUGGAGUCUGAAGACAUUGCCACUUACGUCUGUCAGCAGGGUAGUAACUCUCCUACAGUGAUUCAAGUCGUAACAUAA